GGAAGCUGCCGCUGGCCGGCCGUCGGUGGGGCCGGUUUACCGGAGCAUUUUUGCUAAAGAUGGAUUUCCGCCGCCGGUUCAAGGCUUGGAAACCUGCUGGGAUAUAUUUCGAAUGUCUGUGGAGAAAAAUCCCGGAAACCGGAUGCUUGGGCGUCGGAAAAUAGUUGAAGGAAAUCCAGCUAAAGCUGGUGAAUACGAGUGG
This 202-nucleotide unclassified non-coding RNA is filed under the name Hevea brasiliensis (rubber tree). The record is from RNAcentral. Lineage: Eukaryota; Viridiplantae; Streptophyta; Magnoliopsida; Malpighiales; Euphorbiaceae.